This 82-nucleotide ribosomal RNA is filed under the name Ophiocordyceps sobolifera. Its description in RNAcentral is "partial 26S ribosomal RNA". It matches the Rfam family "Eukaryotic large subunit ribosomal RNA", at positions 1 to 81 of the family's 3401-position model. The record is from RNAcentral. Lineage: Eukaryota; Fungi; Ascomycota; Sordariomycetes; Hypocreales; Ophiocordycipitaceae.
UUGACCUCAGAUCAGGUAGGAAUACCCGCUGAACUUAAGCAUAUCAAUAAGCGGAGGAAAAGAAACCAACAGGGAUUGCCCU